This 468-nucleotide ribosomal RNA is filed under the name uncultured bacterium. RNAcentral describes it as "partial 16S ribosomal RNA". It matches the Rfam family "Bacterial small subunit ribosomal RNA", at positions 28 to 507 of the family's 1533-position model. The record is from RNAcentral.
GACGAACGCUGGCGGCGUGCUUAACACAUGCAAGUCGAACGGAAAGGCCCUGCUUUUGUGGGGUGCUCGAGUGGCGAACGGGUGAGUAACACGUGAGUAACCUGUCCCUGACUUUGGGAUAACUUCAGGAAACUGGGGCUAAUACCGGAUAGGAGCUCCUGCUGCAUGGUGGGGGUUGGAAAGUUUCGGCGGUUGGGGCUGGACUCGCGGCUUAUCAGCUUGUUGGUGGGGUAGUGGCUUACCGAGGCUUUGACGGGUAGCCGGCCUGAGCGGGGGACCGGCCACAUUGGUACUGAGAGACGGCCCAGACGCCUACGGGAGGCAGCAGUGGAGAAUAUUACACAGUGGGCGGGAGCCUGAUGCAACGACGCCGCGUGCGGGAUGACGUCCUUCGAGUUAUGAACCGCUUUGGCCUGUAACGAGGCGUGAUUGACGGUAAUGGGUAAAAAAGCACCGGCUAACUACGUG